This 353-nucleotide unclassified non-coding RNA is filed under the name Hevea brasiliensis (rubber tree). The record is from RNAcentral. Lineage: Eukaryota; Viridiplantae; Streptophyta; Magnoliopsida; Malpighiales; Euphorbiaceae.
GUCCCAUCUUGUUCAAUUGUUUAAGAACAGCAAGCCACUCAGUUCGUCUAGGCUUCAUAAUCCUUACCCAAGCACCCAACAAAUCUGAUAAACUGGCAUUCUGCACUAGGUAAGAAUAGCAAAUUAUCUGCCUCAUGAGGGCCUUACACCGAUUGGUCAUCUUUGGUGGGAGUUCAGAUAUAGCUUGUUUUUGUGCUUCUGUGACAUUAGCGCCAAUCUCAACCCACUUAAACCUUGGUUUCCCUUCUUUGACUUCGAUUUUUCCCAUAUCUUCCACGCUGAGAGCAGCUAAUAAAGGUUGCAUAUGGGAUUCACAUCUAAAAAAGUUUACAGAUUUUUGAAAUAACAAGCUC